This 373-nucleotide ribosomal RNA is filed under the name uncultured eukaryote. Its description in RNAcentral is "partial 18S ribosomal RNA". It matches the Rfam family "Eukaryotic small subunit ribosomal RNA", at positions 592 to 976 of the family's 1831-position model. The record is from RNAcentral.
CAAUAGCGUAUAUUAAAGUUGUUGCAGUUAAAAAGCUCGUAGUUGAAUUUUUGCUUGCCGCCGAUGUCGGAACUUCCGUACGUUCGGCGGCGUGCAUCCUUGGGUGGAACCUGUGUGGCAUUAGGUUGUCGUGCAGGGGAUGCUCAUCGUUUACUGUGAAAAAAUUAGAGUGUUCAAAGCAGGCUUACGCCGUUGAAUAUAUUAGCAUGGAAUAAUAAGAUAGGACCUUGGUACUAUUUUGUUGGUUUGCGCACCGAGGUAAUGAUUAACAGGGACAGUUGGGGGUAUUCGUAUUCCAUUGUCAGAGGUGAAAUUCUUGGAUUUCUGGAAGACGAACUACUGCGAGAGCAUUUACCAAGGAUGUUUUCAUUAA